RNAcentral lists this unclassified non-coding RNA (303 nucleotides) under plant metagenome. RNAcentral describes it as "partial contains 5.8S ribosomal RNA, internal transcribed spacer 2, and large subunit ribosomal RNA". The stretch from base 1 to 105 matches the Rfam family "5.8S ribosomal RNA", at positions 50 to 154 of the family's 154-position model. The record is from RNAcentral.
GAAAUGCGAUAAGUAAUGUGAAUUGCAGAAUUCAGUGAAUCAUCGAAUCUUUGAACGCACAUUGCGCCCGCCAGUAUUCUGGCGGGCAUGCCUGUUCGAGCGUCAUUUCAACCAUCAAGCCCCGCGCUUGUGUUGGGGACCUGCGGCUGCCGCAGGCCCUGAAAACCAUUGGCGGGCUCGCUGUCACACCGGGCGUAGUAGAUUUUAUCUCGCUCAGGGCGUGCUGCGGGUUCCGGCCGUUAAAAAGCCUUUUUUACCCAAGGUUGACCUCGGAUCAGGUAGGAAGACCCGCUGAACUUAAGC